Non-coding RNA from Peromyscus maniculatus bairdii (prairie deer mouse), 437 nucleotides. Lineage: Eukaryota; Metazoa; Chordata; Mammalia; Rodentia; Cricetidae. The record is from RefSeq and is a predicted model, not a curated record.
UUCAAUGGGGGUUGGAACUUCCAGACCAAAGCUGGAAUGGCUACCCACCACACAACUGCUACACAAAGGACCUCUAAGAAUUUUAAGGACAUUUGGUAUUUUUGAAACUCAAUGCAAAACAUUUCUUGAGCUGUGAAUAUAGCUAGGGCUGUCAUCAUUUGGUACCUAGCCAGUGGCAGGGCUCCUUACGGGCAAGUCCAGGCAUGAAGAUCGAAGUCACCAGUGCCCCAGUCAUCAACUUUUGAGCCUGGCUUCCUUCCCUUUCCUCAGCAGACAACGCAUUUGCUGCAUGUCCCAGGUGCUCCAUGUGCCAACAUGUGCUCUUCUCACUCUGGAACAGCUGCAUUGCAUGGAGGACCACAGUUUCCCACACAUUCCAACUGGACAAUAGUGAGCACAUCUAAAGAACACCAAUAAAGCUUCCAUAGGUAUCAAUA